RNAcentral lists this long non-coding RNA (358 nucleotides) under Sinocyclocheilus anshuiensis. Its description in RNAcentral is "lncRNA (ENSSANG00000004812.1)". The record is from RNAcentral. Lineage: Eukaryota; Metazoa; Chordata; Actinopteri; Cypriniformes; Cyprinidae.
CAAUAUCAUUUCCCUUUCUUUUAGUCUUUUGUGAACUGAUCCCUUUAACUAAACCAGUGCUGUGAUGACAUCAUCGCAUGGGAAGUGACAUCAUUUUGGAGGGAAAGCAACAGCACCAGCACCAGCAUUAACGCUGUUGAUAGAGCUUAACUCAUCCUGAAGCCGGAACAUUCCCGUAGCAGCAGAAGUGCUGGAAUGCCACAUGGUUUUAAUGCCCCACCCAGCGCUGGAAGGAUGACAUGCAGUGCCCCGACCCCCCGCCUCUGGAGCUUGAAAGUCUCAGUCUCCAUUCUUUGCAACUGUAAAGAGCAUCCAGCACAAUUAAUUAAAAUCCAGAAGAUAGAAAGUCAUGAAUGUU